GACGAACGCUGGCGGCGUGCCUAAUACAUGCAAGUAGAACGCACAGUUUAUACCUUCGCUUGCUACACCAUAGACUGUGAGUUGCGAACGGGUGAGUAACGCGUAGGUAACCUGCCUGGUAGCGGGGGAUAACUAUUGGAAACGAUAGCUAAUACCGCAUAAUAUUGAUUAUUGCAUGAUAAUUAAUUGAAAGGUGCAAUUGCACCACUACCAGAUGGACCUGCGUUGUAUUAGCUAGUAGGUGAGGUAACGGCUCACCUAGGCGACGAUACAUAGCCGACCUGGGAGGGUGAUCGGCCACACUGGGACUGAGACACGGCCCAGACUCCUACGGGAGGCAGCAGUAGGGAAUCUUAGGCAAUGGACGAAAGUCUGACCGAGCAACGCCGCGUGAGUGAAGAAGGUUUUCGGAUCGUAAAGCUCUGUUGUAAGAGAAGAACGGGUGUGAGAGUGGAAAGUUCACACUGUGACGGUAUCUUACCAGAAAGGGACGGCUAACUACGUG
RNAcentral lists this ribosomal RNA (505 nucleotides) under uncultured bacterium. RNAcentral describes it as "partial 16S ribosomal RNA". It matches the Rfam family "Bacterial small subunit ribosomal RNA", at positions 28 to 507 of the family's 1533-position model. The record is from RNAcentral.